RNAcentral lists this ribosomal RNA (1002 nucleotides) under Triticum aestivum (bread wheat). Its description in RNAcentral is "partial small subunit ribosomal RNA". The record is from RNAcentral. Lineage: Eukaryota; Viridiplantae; Streptophyta; Magnoliopsida; Poales; Poaceae.
AUGGAGGCCGCGGGUGCGGCCUCAACCAUCCACAUCCAGGGGGAAAAGGGAGGAGGAGAGUGGACGAGCGGCCGCCGCUUAGACCUUCCUCCGUCCGGAAUCGAGUCCGCUGAUCCGCGGCCGAUCUCAUUUAAGAGAGUGUGUUCGAGGCUUCCAAUUGUUGAAUCGAUGGAGGCUGGCGCUGCGUUCUUCCAUCGGUUCUUCUUUCUUUGUAGUUCACGAUUGAUCAAUUCUUCUAGCCAACUUCUCCAGACUUUUCCCGUCAUCGUCUGCGGCAAUUGCAGAUCGCCGGAGUGGCCUCCUCUGGCCAUAGAGAGGCCUUGCCGUUUGCCGCCGCUGUCGUCGGCAGUCAUGUGGCGGAUUGAAGCGCCGAAGGGCGCCGCUUCGACGCGCCCACAGAGGAGGGCGUCGUCAACCAUGGGGUGCCUCAGCCGCCUGCAUCGCGCGCUGGUGCUGUGCCGCUGGAGCGCUGUCGAGGCCGAGGGUCCUUGUGUCCUUGGGGCCGGAGGGAGUCGCCGCCACAGCCGUGUAUCAGGCCGAUGGUCAGGGACGAUGGAAUGGGUGCUGAAGAAUGAAAUCAAUCUUCAGCCAGCGGUGACAAAAUAUUCAAGCGUGCAUGUUGAAGAUGGACCAUGGAUCUUACAAUCGCGUCGUCAAAUGGAGAAGCGGUUGUUGAAAAAUGUCGCUAGCCUUAAACUCGGAGACGGUAACAACCAAGCCCUAUCGAAAGAUGAUUUUGAAUGGGACUCUGAUGAUGAAAACAUGAUUGGCACUGCAGACUUGCCUCCAACAUCCGACAACAACUCUCCUCAUUAUGACUGUCUUGGAUUUCAUCCUUACAAAGAAAUCGCCUUGUUUUGUUGGUCCAAUAAAAUUGUAGCAUGCCAUUUAAAUAGCUCCAAGAUUCGAUAUUUAGGCAAGGCGGCACACAUACCUGCCCAGUUGCUAGUGGCUUGCACAUACGCCCCAUGUUGGAUGAGGGACUUACCUGGAAGCACUUGA